RNAcentral lists this ribosomal RNA (512 nucleotides) under uncultured bacterium. RNAcentral describes it as "bacterial SSU rRNA". It matches the Rfam family "Bacterial small subunit ribosomal RNA", at positions 791 to 1304 of the family's 1533-position model. The record is from RNAcentral.
UAGUCCACGCCCUAAACGAUGGAUACUAGUCGUUGGGUCUCCUAAUAGACUCGGUGACGUAGCUAACGCAUUAAGUAUCCCGCCUGGGGAGUACGGUCGCAAGAUUAAAACUCAAAGGAAUUGACGGGGGCCCGCACAAGCGGUGGAGCAUGUGGUUUAAUUCGAUGCUACGCGAAAAACCUUACCUAGGCUUGACAUCCCGGGCUAUCCUGUGAAAGCAGGAGUUCCCUUACGGGACCCGGUGACAGGUGCUGCAUGGCUGUCGUCAGCUCGUGUUGUGAGAUGUUGGGUUAAGUCCCGCAACGAGCGCAACCCUCGUCACUAGUUACUAACGGUUCGGCCGAGGACUCUAGUGAGACUGCCUUCGCAAGGAGGAGGAAGGUGAGGACGACGUCAAGUCAUCAUGGCCCUUACGGCCAGGGCAACACACGUGCUACAAUGGUUAGGACAAUGAGACGCGAUACCGCGAGGUGGAGCAAAUCUAUAAACCUAAUCUCAGUUCGGAUUGUUCU